UCCGCCGUGCCAAAUUCAAGGGCUUCUUUUAGAAAGUCCUCUUCGUCCCUCUGUUUUCUCAUCAUUAUAGUCUAAAUUUUCUACUCUACUUUUAUGCCUGCAUCACAUCAUCCUGCUCUUCCUCUCUGUGUCCUUCCUCUCAUCUAUAAUAGAGGUCUGCUCUCCUCUUUCCUAUUCGCCUCUCUGCUCCCAUUCUCUUCAAAUAUCGCCCCAUCACUUCUUUGAUGUUUGUCUGCAGAGCAAUUACCGCCUGCCAGCUCUCUUAUCCUGCUCUCUCUCUCUCUCUUUCUCUCUUUCCUUGAUACACAUAUCUGCUGCUCACAUUCAGAUAAUAUUCAGGGUCCAUUAGGCUGCAUUAAAACCCAUAGGAGCUAUACAUCAUCUCUCAGCAAGCAGUCAGGGUAAGUAUCCGUUGCAUCCUCUCGCUGUCUCUCCACAUGCCCGAGCAUGUAAUAGCUCAUGAAUACUGAUUGCGUUUGAGCGUAAUUGGGUUUGCAUCUCUCAGCCUGGGCUGCCCGGCCGUAGAUACUACUAUGGUGUGUUUUUGGAGUCAUGCACCUACACACAUGCACUGGACACACAGAUCCUGAGCACGGCAAUGACAGGAGGCCCCCUCUUUGGGCUGAUCUGAGAACAGUUUGGCAGUUUUCCAUGCAAGAGUCGAGAACAGCCAGAGAGGGGAAUCGUGUCCCCACUAUACGGACUCUACCGGGAGGUGUAGUUGUACUGCACCACUACCUACCAGCAGUGACCCAAAGCCCAAAGCUCUACCUGCGAUCUCCAGCCUUCGGACUACGUUACCCAGAAUGCAUCACUCAGUGACAUCACUUAUUCACCCAGGAAGUCAAUCACCCGAAUUCUGAACACCUGUCCAGAGCUCUACUCAUACCCCUCACUUCUCUCUACAAAGCUUUGUUCAAUUCUUCCAUGUUUACCUACCUAGUUUUUGUUUUUUCUCGAUUUUUGCCUUGCCCUUUUUGCUGCUCUAUCGUGUAUGACCCUUGGACUGUUUAUCCAGCCUGGUAUGUUUAUCCUCUCAGGCUAUCGUUUGUUUACUGGUGGUGAGCUUGCUUUUUUUGACUAUCCUUUGUCCUGUGGCUUCAUUUAAUAAAAGCUUUCAUUCACAU
This 1127-nucleotide long non-coding RNA is filed under the name Astyanax mexicanus (Mexican tetra). Its description in RNAcentral is "lncRNA (ENSAMXG00005003872.1)". The record is from RNAcentral. Lineage: Eukaryota; Metazoa; Chordata; Actinopteri; Characiformes; Acestrorhamphidae.